This 71-nucleotide transfer RNA is filed under the name Marmota monax (woodchuck). RNAcentral describes it as "tRNA.Ala". It matches the Rfam family "tRNA". From Rfam's summary of the family: Transfer RNA (tRNA) molecules are approximately 80 nucleotides in length. Their secondary structure includes four short double-helical elements and three loops (D, anti-codon, and T loops). The record is from RNAcentral. Lineage: Eukaryota; Metazoa; Chordata; Mammalia; Rodentia; Sciuridae.
GGGGUUGUGGCUCAGUGGUAGAGUGCUUUCCUAGCAUGCAUGAGGCACUGGGUUCGAUCCCCAGCACCACA